RNAcentral lists this transfer RNA (74 nucleotides) under Clostridiales bacterium. RNAcentral's name for it is "tRNA-Arg". It matches the Rfam family "tRNA". Rfam says of the family: Transfer RNA (tRNA) molecules are approximately 80 nucleotides in length. The record is from RNAcentral. Lineage: Bacteria; Bacillati; Bacillota; Clostridia; Eubacteriales.
GUACGUGUAGCUCAGCUGGAUAGAGCGUCUGGCUACGGACCAGAAGGCCGCGAGUUCGAAUCUUGCCACGUACA